GAAAUGCGAUAAGUAAUGUGAAUUACAGAAUUCAGUGAAUCAUCGAAUCUUUGAACGCACCUUGCGCUCCUUGGUAUUCCUUGGAGCAUGCCUGUUUGAGUAUCAUGAAAUCUUCAAAGUAAAUCUUUUGUUAACUCAAUUGGUUUCUACUUUGGUAUUGGAGGUCUUUGCAGCUUCACACCUGCUCCUCUUUGUUCAUUAGCUGGAUCUCAGUGUUAUGCUUGGUUCCACUCGGCGUGAUAAGUUAUCUAUCGCUGAGGACACUGUAAAAGGUGGCCAAGGUAAAUGCAGAUGAACCGCUUCUAAUAGUCCAUUGACUUGGACAAUACUUUUAAGAUCUGAUCUCAAAUCAGGUAGGACUACCCGCUGAACUUAAGC
This 378-nucleotide unclassified non-coding RNA is filed under the name plant metagenome. RNAcentral describes it as "partial contains 5.8S ribosomal RNA, internal transcribed spacer 2, and large subunit ribosomal RNA". The stretch from base 1 to 105 matches the Rfam family "5.8S ribosomal RNA", at positions 50 to 154 of the family's 154-position model. The record is from RNAcentral.